RNAcentral lists this transfer RNA (92 nucleotides) under Desulfovibrio sp. An276. RNAcentral describes it as "tRNA-Ser". It matches the Rfam family "tRNA". From Rfam's summary of the family: Transfer RNA (tRNA) molecules are approximately 80 nucleotides in length. RNAcentral also lists the same sequence under 1 other name. The record is from RNAcentral. Lineage: Bacteria; Pseudomonadati; Thermodesulfobacteriota; Desulfovibrionia; Desulfovibrionales; Desulfovibrionaceae.
GGAGAGAUGUCCGAGUUGGCCGAAGGAGCACGAUUGGAAAUCGUGUAACGGUCUAAAGCCGUUCUAGAGUUCGAAUCUCUAUCUCUCCGCCA